GACGAACGCUGGCGGCGUGCUUAACACAUGCAAGUCGAACGGAAAGGCCCUGCUUUUGUGGGGUGCUCGAGUGGCGAACGGGUGAGUAACCCGUGAGUAACCUGCCCUUGACUUUGGGAUAACUUCAGGAAACUGGGGCUAAUACAGGAUAGGAGCUCCUGCUGCAUGGUGGGGGUUGGAAAGUUUCGGCGGUUGGGGAUGGACUCGCGGCUUAUCAGCUUGUUGGUGGGUUAGUGGCUUACCAAGGCUUUGACGGGUAGCCGGCCUGAGAGGGUGACCGGCCACAAUGGGACUGAGAGACGGCCCAGACUCCUACGGGAGGCAGCAGGGGGGAAUAUUGCACAAUGGGCGGAAGCCUGAUGCAGCAACGCCGCGUGCGGGAUGACGGCCUUCGGGUUGUAAACCGCUUUCGCCUGUGACGAAGCGUGAGUGACGGUAAUGGGUAAAGAAGCACCGGCUAACUACGUG
This 468-nucleotide ribosomal RNA is filed under the name uncultured bacterium. RNAcentral describes it as "partial 16S ribosomal RNA". It matches the Rfam family "Bacterial small subunit ribosomal RNA", at positions 28 to 507 of the family's 1533-position model. The record is from RNAcentral.